Small nucleolar RNA from Alligator mississippiensis (American alligator), 145 nucleotides. It matches the Rfam family "Small nucleolar RNA SNORA79". From Rfam's summary of the family: ACA65 (SNORA79) is a member of the H/ACA class of snoRNAs that guide the sites of modification of uridines to pseudouridines. This snoRNA was identified by computational screening and its expression in mouse experimentally verified by Northern blot and primer extension analysis. Lineage: Eukaryota; Metazoa; Chordata; Crocodylia; Alligatoridae. The record is from Rfam.
CGAUGACCGUUCCUCUCGCUGCCACAAGAUAUGGGCAGCGGGAUUUUGUGUCGUCGCAGAUUAAACUUGACUUUUCUUCACUUGGGGUGCCUUGGAUGGAUUGGCUGUCUGUUAGGCCCUCCAAAUUUUGCGGGGUCAGACAUUC